This 635-nucleotide long non-coding RNA is filed under the name Sitophilus oryzae (rice weevil). RNAcentral describes it as "uncharacterized LOC115883792". Lineage: Eukaryota; Metazoa; Arthropoda; Insecta; Coleoptera; Curculionidae. The record is from RNAcentral.
UUUUUCCAUAUUUCUUAACUAUUAAUAAACUAUUAAUGUAUAAUUGUUUCAUUUUAUAUAAAGGACCAAAAUUAGCAUUUAAAAUGGGUCUACACUGGGAAAUGUGUGAGAAUUAAAGAAUUUAAACAUCGUGGAGUGUCAUUUCAAAAAUUUCUAAAAGAUAGUGAGAGAAAAAUUAAAUGGUUUUCUCUGUUAGGAUUUAUUCAUAGCAUAAUAUUAAAAAGUCGAGCAAAAGAGAACUCAAGAACAGCUGAUUUUUUUAUAAGGAAUUGAAGAAAAUAUUUAAAAACUGAUGAAUUUUCACAGCCAUUUAUGUCGCGAUUUAUGGUGUUUCAGUUGUUUUAACAUCACCUAGGAAAUUAACAUUAAGAUAUCAGGAUCCUGCAGAUAACGAGAUAAGAAGUAUGAUCUUGUUAUAGGAUACCUAUUCCGUCACAAUAUGAAGUGAAGAUAUUCAUGGUGUGGAAGUCGUUACUUUAAUUACAUAGUGCAUAUGAAAUUGGUCCUUUACAACAUGUUUAAAAUUGACGUAAUGCUACUAUGCAAAAUAGUGAGAGAUGUGAACCUUAGGCAGAGCUACAGAAUUACUUUUGUUGAGAGACAAAUUAUGAUAGUGAUUGGAAUCGCAUAUUCUA